RNAcentral lists this ribosomal RNA (253 nucleotides) under uncultured bacterium. RNAcentral describes it as "partial 16S ribosomal RNA". It matches the Rfam family "Bacterial small subunit ribosomal RNA", at positions 524 to 776 of the family's 1533-position model. The record is from RNAcentral.
UACGGGGGGAGCAAGCGUUGUUCGGAUUUACUGGGCGUAAAGAGCUCGUAGGCGGUUUGUUGCGUCGGCUGUGAAAUCCCGAGGCUCAACCUCGGGUCUGCAGUCGAUACGAGCAAACUAGAGUGUUGCAGGGGAGACUGGAAUUCCUGGUGUAGCGGUGAAAUGCGCAGAUAUCAGGAGGAACACCGGUGGCGAAGGCGGGUCUCUGGGCAGCAACUGACGCUGAGGAGCGAAAGCGUGGGGAGCGAACAGG